Molecule: long non-coding RNA, 1301 nt
Filed under: Ananas comosus (pineapple)
Lineage: Eukaryota; Viridiplantae; Streptophyta; Magnoliopsida; Poales; Bromeliaceae
Description: long non-coding RNA (ACOM_LNC024677)
Source: RNAcentral
AUAAAGAUAUUGCGACAAACUUUUUUAAAUUUAGUGUCAAUCUACAAAAUUUAAAAAAUACGGUCCGAUUUUACAACAAUUUAAAAUCAAGGAAAAACUUCAAAUACCACAAUUGUGGUUCCGUACUUUCUCACUUUAGUACCUUCGGUUUAAAGUGUAUCAAUUUAGUGCCAUGUAGUUUUAUUUGUUAUCAAUUCUACUAAUUAUUUUUCUUAAAUCAAUAACAAAGUUAAAACUAAAUGGUACGAAAGUGAAUAUUCGAUAAACUAGGUGCGUAUCUAAAGUUUUUUGUAUAUAAUUUAAUGAAAUAUUAACGAAAAAAUUGACGAAAAGAGAAAAAUAAAACCAUAUGAUACUAAAUUGAUACACUUUAAAAAAUAGGGUACUCAAGGGAAAAAAUAUGAAACCACGGUGGUGGUAUUUGAAGUUUACCCUAUAAAAUCAAUAAAACCAAUAUUUUUUGGCCUUUUUGCAUAAAAAAUCCACUAGUUUUGGGCCUUUGCAAAACUGGGUCACUUUUUUCGAUUUUGCAUAUUCGGUCCGAAUUUUUAAUAAACUGACCAAAAUACCCUUAUUACUUUUUCUCUCUCCUUUUUUUUUUUCUCUCAUUCUUUUUUUUUUCCUUUCUGAAUAAGGCGACGGAGGCGGAGGUCGAAACAGCGUGCCUCGCCUCUGCCCCUCACACUCUCGUCCUCGCCCGCGCACCCCCCGCCCUCCUCGCCUUCAACCCUGCCAAGGCCACGCCACGACUUUUAUUUUUUUUUCUCCGAUCCUCCUCCACCGCCGGCAACGAAGAGGAAGUGCUUCCCGGGGACGAAAAGCACACCGGCGAGUUGGGGGGUGAAAACUCCGGCGAGGGCGGUGGCUGCGAUAGAGGGCAAGGAAGAGAUCGUGAUUGAAAAAAUUAUAAAGAAAAAAUAAAAAUAAAAAAUAUUUUUUUCUCCAUAAAAGAUCAAAAAUCAUAUAAAAAGGAAGAAGAUAAUGAAAUUGCACUGUUAAAAUAAUAUUGCACUAUUUUAAAAAAAUUGUACUAUUUUAAAUAAACAUUGCACGCUUUGAGACAGAAAUUAUAGUCUCUGAAAUCAAAUUUACACUCUUUAGGAUGAAUUUGCACUAUUUACGUAGAAGUUGCACUCUUUAGAUGAAGUUACACUAUUUCUUUUUUCUUUUUUUUCCUCUAAUUUACACUAUUUUUUUUCUUCCUCUUCUUCCUCCUUCUUUCUUCUCCUUCUCCCCGCCCUCAUCAAAUCCCUCUGCUCCUCCUCUGCCGCUGCCGCCGGCCAACACAACAACAACAACGC